This 234-nucleotide ribosomal RNA is filed under the name uncultured Actinomycetales bacterium. RNAcentral describes it as "partial 16S ribosomal RNA". It matches the Rfam family "Bacterial small subunit ribosomal RNA", at positions 97 to 334 of the family's 1533-position model. The record is from RNAcentral. Lineage: Bacteria; Bacillati; Actinomycetota; Actinomycetes; Actinomycetales.
GGCGAACGGGUGAGUAACACGUGGGUGAUCUGCCCUGCACUCUGGGAUAAGCCUGGGAAACUGGGUCUAAUACUGGAUAUGACCUUUCUCCUUAUGGGGUUUGGUGGAAAGUUUUCGGUGUAGGAUGAGCCCGCGGCCUAUCAGCUUGUUGGUGGGGUGAUGGCCUACCAAGGCGACGACGGGUAGCCGGCCUGAGAGGGUGAUCGGCCACAUUGGGACUGAGAUGCGGCCCAG